GCAGUAGGGAAUAUUGGGCAAUGGAUGCAAGUCUGACCCAGCCAUGCCGCGUGCCGGAUGAAGGCCCUCAGGGUUGUAAACGGCUUUUAUUCGGGAAGAAGAGCAGGGAUGCGUCCUUGUGUGACGGUACCGAAUGAAUAAGCACCGGCUAACUCCGUGCCAGCAGCCGCGGUAAUACGGAGGGUGCGAGCGUUGUCCGGAUUUAUUGGGUUUAAAGGGUGCGUAGGUGGCUUUAUAAGUCAGUGGUGAAAUACGGUUGCUCAACAAUCGAGGUGCCAUUGAUACUGUAGAGCUUGAAACAAGUGGAGGUUGCCGGAAUGGAUGGUGUAGCGGUGAAAUGCAUAGAUAUCAUCCAGAACACCGAUUGCGAAGGCAGGUGACUACGUUUGAUUUGACACUGAGGCACGAAAGCAUGGGGAGCAAACAGGAUUAGA
This 434-nucleotide ribosomal RNA is filed under the name uncultured bacterium. RNAcentral describes it as "bacterial SSU rRNA". It matches the Rfam family "Bacterial small subunit ribosomal RNA", at positions 351 to 782 of the family's 1533-position model. The record is from RNAcentral.